This 81-nucleotide ribosomal RNA is filed under the name Scorpidium scorpioides. RNAcentral describes it as "partial 25S ribosomal RNA". It matches the Rfam family "Eukaryotic large subunit ribosomal RNA", at positions 1 to 80 of the family's 3401-position model. The record is from RNAcentral. Lineage: Eukaryota; Viridiplantae; Streptophyta; Bryopsida; Hypnales; Amblystegiaceae.
CAGACCUGUAAUCGGAAAAGACUACCCGCUGAGUUUAAGCAUAUCACUAAGCGGAGGAGAAGAAACUAACCAGGAUUUCCC